GGAGGUGACAGGGGAGCGGCCGUCUGAGCCAGGGUGGGGAGGGGCGCGCUGCAGGGACCCCCAGCAGAGGAGGAAGUGAAAGCCCUGGUGGUGAAGGAUGUUGCUCCGGCUGUUUAAGACAAACCCAGGGGAGGAGCGUCCAGCGGCAGGCCUCCUUUGGAGAAGGCUGGGACCAAAGUGCUGCAACCACCUCAGCUGUGAGUCAUCUCUGAAUCAUCGGCCUUACCUCCCCCGGAAACUUCAGGGGCUUCUUCUCUUCAGGAUGCCCUGCCAUCUUCUCAGAGGACUCAUGAGAUGGCGCUCGUGGUGGAGCUGCCAGCUGUGCCCACGAAAGCUACCAUGACCGUGUCUUCACUGGAGCUUGUGUGUGAUGGGGUCAGAAUUCCAUCCGCAAGAGCAACUGGGACCUGGAAGACUCCUCGCCUCUGGAGUCCCCUUGCAACCUGGAAGCUCCAGCACUUCCCUGGAGCCUAGCACACAUGCACAG
This is a long non-coding RNA of Bos taurus (domestic cattle), 487 nucleotides long. NCBI's taxonomy places the organism in Eukaryota, Metazoa, Chordata, Mammalia, Artiodactyla, Bovidae. The record is from Ensembl.